AUAUUGCAUACGAGUUACUCCUUCAAUCAUUCCCAAAUCAACAUAACUUGACAACCUACCAAUCCUUGAGCCGAAAUCCAACUUGGAAUCAAAAAACAAAGCUGUGAACUGAGGAAAAGAAGCUCAAACGCUGUUGCACCGUUACUGAGAUUUGAAACCCAAACAUGAUAACGGAUUUGCAAUCCAUUAAUUGAUAGAGAGUAAGAGAAAGAAGAUGGAAGGAGAGAAAGAAGAUGAUGUUUUGAUAUUGAUAAAUGGAUCUACAA
This 266-nucleotide long non-coding RNA is filed under the name Medicago truncatula (barrel medic). RNAcentral describes it as "long non-coding RNA (MTRU_LNC005339)". The record is from RNAcentral. Lineage: Eukaryota; Viridiplantae; Streptophyta; Magnoliopsida; Fabales; Fabaceae.